AGUCCAGUCGGACUGAUGGGGUAUAAUUUCAACCAGUCCGCAGAAAAUUUUAUCAGUCCAACGGAGUUUUCCAGAAAUAAUUAAACAUAUUUCAUUAAUGUUAUUAAAAUGAAAUUAAACUCAAUAUGUCUCAGAUAAUAUUGUAACAUUUAAAUGUGGGAUUUAUAUUUAUGAAUCAGAUUCGUCUGAUAUCUACAGAUCGAAGCAUGCCAAAUGUGUGUAUAAAAUUUCAUAAGUAUAUUUUCCAAAAUGAUGCUUUAGAAAAUUAACCAGUCCCAUCGGACUGACUAAAACAAAUGUAAGUCAGUCCGCCAGACUUUUAACCAGUCACAGACUGACGGGCAUAUGUUAAUUUCGAGCCCUGCCCCCCGUUAUAAUGCCACCCCCGCAUAUCACCAAAAAAGUUCCCGUAUUCCUCGCUAUGUAAAACUCCGUUAUAAUAUCAUCCCCACGUAUACCGCCAUCCUAUUUACAGGUACGAUUUAGUCAAUUACCGUUAUAACUACCCCCGCUAAUUAUCGUCAAUCAGUGAAAUUCAGUGAGCAGGCUUAACCAAUUAUCCGCCGUUAGUCCUCCAGGUAUCAAAGUUUGGAGCAGAUAAUAAGUACAGUCAAAACUGCCAUAGCGACCCACUGUAUUAAGCGACUCACUGUCGUAUGUGACCAUAAAAAGUUCCCCCCAAGAUGUUAUUCUAUAUAUUGUACCUGUAUUAAAUGACCACCUGUCUGACGCGACCAACGACCAUGAUUUUCACAACCUUUUCGUGCAUUUUAACGAAAUUUUACCUCUAUUUAACGACUGUACAUUUUUCGAUUACAACGUGAUUACUACUUUCGAUUUCGGUUGAGCCGACUAUUCUGGGAAUUAUCUCCCCUAACACUUUCGUUUUCAAACGCACGACUAUUCUGGGAAUUAUCGCCCCUAAUACUUUCGUUUUAAUACGCACAGUUUGUCGAUGAUCUUGAUUAGUCGGCCAUCUGAAUAAAUCAUUAUACCUAAGCUGUCAACAUGCAGUGUCCUGUGUGGUUAAUUAAUAAAACCCGCAUUGUUGUUUAUUUAACAAAAUCAAGGAUCAGGGAAUCAAGGCCGGUGUAUUUGAAGGUGUGAAUUUCGACAAACUUUAAGAAGUGCCGGGUAGGCUAGAUCGGAAAUGAAAAUCUACCACUUGUUAUAGUAAAAAAAAUUGCCUGAUUGCGAUAUAAAUCAGGUAAAUAUUGUGCUCAGGACUAAAAUUUCCCGAUUGCGAUAUAAAUCAGGUAAAUAUUGUGCUCAGGACUAAAAUUUUAAACGGAGUAUUCACAGUUUUCCUUCAUGAGAUACUAAAGGUUUCCAGAAUAAUGACCGGAACUAGCGGCUCACUUCGACAUGUCCCGAGUAUUUGACAUGUCCGAGUUCAAGAAAAUUGCCUGCAUUAGUUCUAAGCUUAAAAUAUUUGCUGUGCAUAUAUAAGUAUGUUUUUGGUUUUGGGUAAAUUCUUAAUAUCCUCAUUAAACCCAAUGUAUAAAAGUAAAAUGGAGCUGAAAAAUUGCCAAACACCUUUUAUUCAGCUCUCAGGAAUGUGUACUGAUAAUAAAAUAUAUUUCUUUUUUUUUUUAAAUUGUUUUCACUUUAGAAAAAAAAAAUCAAAGUCCAUGAACCAACUUUUUUUCCAUUGAAAAAUGUUACAUAAAUUUUCUUAGGAUCUUUAAAUGAUAGAUUAGAGAUUUAAUAAGCUUAGAGGCAUAUGAUAAGUAUGUUUUUGAGUAAUAUGAUUGUGUUAUAUAAUGCUCUGAAAAUAACAUAAAUGCCACCCUUGAAACGAAUUAGAAAAUACAUUACUGAAAUUAAUAUUACGUUCGUAGCCUGUCGUGUCCGAAAAUGAAGAAAAAAUAUGAUGCCUCUUAAUAUUUCAUGACGAGAAUUUAUUUACCGUAUCACGUGUUGUUUGCAUAUUUCAUGUCGUUAUUAACUCAGUAAAUGAAUACCAAGCCAAUUGUGAUUGUGUUACUUAUUUUAUUUUUCAAACGAUUUUCAUGGUUACUUUUGGAGUCCGAUUCGUUACGAACAUAAAUCACCUGGUUGCUAGUACGAUUGAGAUUCAUAUGAUGUAUUUCGAUUUCUAUUCUAUUACGUCACCGAUGCUGAACUCCCUAUGUGUAAUUGAACUCGCCCACAGAUUUGCAUUGUGGGAUAGCGAUGGCGGUAAAUACAGUGUCCACAAAACGAUGAUUUCGUUACGAACAUGAUUCGUCGUUAACUGAUGCAGAAAAAUUCAUCAAGGAAGUUUGUGGGGGUGAAUACCUUCUCCAAUUUAUGCUGCGGAAAGGAGACAGAUUAUAUUGGCCCCCUGUGGAUGAAUUCUCUUGGGAGCCAUAUGAUAACAUACAUCGACUUUUGCCAAUACCUGUUUUGUCCAAUUAAGCAGUCUUCCUCUGGAAGACAAUUAUUUUAAUUUUGAAACAUUCACACUCGCUCAUGCUAUUCAAAAUUCAUAUUGAUGUUGCAUUGAAAUAAAUGUUUUCCUUAGCGCUGAAAAAA
Long non-coding RNA from Ostrea edulis (European flat oyster), 2517 nucleotides. RefSeq lists it as uncharacterized. The record is from RefSeq and is a predicted model, not a curated record. Lineage: Eukaryota; Metazoa; Mollusca; Bivalvia; Ostreida; Ostreidae. The transcript is spliced from 2 exons.